AAUCAGAGUGCUCAGAGGGUGGCCAGUCUUUUUCUUUUAGAUACUCAAAAGAAUCCAAUCACCAUUUUGGUUAGAGCAGGCUGAAUUUUGUAUGGCAGAAGUGGAAAGGAGCCUGGAGUUCGUUUUGUUAGCGAAAUGGCACAAACUGUUCAAUAUGCUGAUCUCAUACAGAUUCCCCAAGACUACCCCUCGGUUGUGCAACAUUACAUUCUUGUUAGUUGGCAUGUGAGCUGACAGCAGGUGGCAGAUGAUAGCCAUGGAACUUCCAAAGGAUUCAGAGAAGAAAGGUGAUCCAGACUGGGACAAUAGCACUGGAAGAGAGGCGCUUUAAGCUCUAACUCCUGUCAAGUUCUUGAUCAAGAUCAUCCCCCAUCCUGAAGGCUGGGAUUGUAAGCCCUUUUGGCACAGGGCAUCAUCUUCUGUUUUCUUUCCUAUGUAAGUCACCAACUCUUAAAGCAGUAUAUAAAUCAAUAAUAAAAACAGCAG
This is a long non-coding RNA of Hemicordylus capensis (graceful crag lizard), 486 nucleotides long. RefSeq lists it as uncharacterized. Lineage: Eukaryota; Metazoa; Chordata; Lepidosauria; Squamata; Cordylidae. The record is from RefSeq and is a predicted model, not a curated record. The transcript is spliced from 3 exons.